Non-coding RNA from Ictidomys tridecemlineatus (thirteen-lined ground squirrel), 3001 nucleotides. Lineage: Eukaryota; Metazoa; Chordata; Mammalia; Rodentia; Sciuridae. The record is from RefSeq and is a predicted model, not a curated record.
GUUGAGCAGAGCUCUCUCUCUCUGCUUCCCAGCACCAUGUUCCCAGCUGCUUUCCUCUGCCAUGACGUUCUGUCUCAUCCCAGGCCCUGAGGAAUGGAGACGGCCACCUCUCCAUGAGGUGGACUGAGGCCUCUGAAACUACUUGAAACUUGCUUCAAGUUACAAUUCUUGACAUCGUUGGAAUGCAGCGCCACUCUCUGAAUAACUCCUAUGCUGGGCCCUGCUCUUUAGCACUGAAUGAAGAAAAUACUGCAUAGAAAGAGAGGAUAGAAAUCACUUACAACUUCAAAACCAGAGAGAAUCAGUCUUCAUUCUGUCCGUUGUCUAUGUUUGUGUAGGUCCUCACCUAAGGAUAAUUGCUCUUCCUCCUGAAGUACAUCUUGCAGGAAUUCUUUCGGUGAAGGUCCAUUGAGGCGAAACUCUUUUGGUUUGAGUCUACUUGCAAAUAGUGAUAUUUGAUAUGACACUCCUUGUGAUGUUGUGCAGAGGCAGUGAGCUGCAGCUGUUGUCAGUCACACCGUCAUGAAGUGCUAUGAAGAAGAGGAGACAGGGUAUGCAGGAGGAAGAAGAAAAGAACCAAGACUACUCUAGUUUUGAAUCACUCAUUGUUGGAAGUCAUUCAGCAGGAGGACUGGCUGCUUGUGUUUAUCCCUGUUUGUACUGCACCCCUCUUAUUUUUAUAGGGGCACUCUGCAUCUCUUCAGAUUUCAGGAUAACUAUCCUGUGCCUUAAUCUCUUUUGUGUUGCUGUAACAGAAUGCCAGUGACUGGGAAAAUUAUAAAGAAAAUAAAUUUCUCAUAGAUCUGGAGGCUGGAAGUCCGACAUCAAGGUGCCAACAUCUAGUGGGUGUCCUCUUGCUGUGUCAUCCUGUGGCAGAAGGAAGAAACUGAGGGGCAAAGAAUUUGAGUGACUUGCCACAGUUAUACAACUAAUGAGUGUUGGAACUGAGAUGCCAAUAACACUGAGCUGACUCCAGAGCUGUCUUCUUUAUAUAAAUAAAACGAGGCUAUCACUUUUUCAGAUAUUAAAAAGAAUCCAGUUGAACAAAGAAAGGACAUGCUGUAAGAAAUAGUUCAAUAGCAGAAGAUCCUAUAAUAGUAUUUGAAAGGAGAAAUAUUCUCAUACUGAUGAAAGGAAGAAAGGGAAGAAAAACCUGUGAGAAUUUUACAGCACCCUCUCCUGACCCAGGAAGACACUUCUAAGAGCUGCAUGAAACUGUAUUUAAGGUCGACAGGAAUAAAGCUGUCCAUCUUACUUUUCUUAUACAUACACCCUUAGACUCCUCUGCAUUACUCAUUGGCAUCUCUAGCUCUUCAACUCCAAAAAUUUCACCGAAGCCAUUUGAGCAUUUUAAGUUUUAUUUUAAAUUAUAUCUUUUUUCAUUUUAAAUGAUUUCUUCCUACUGUUGGUAGAUGUUGUGUGCAUUACAUUACAGGAGAAUCAUUCUCUUUGCCUGAGGAAUAAGACCGUGUAAAAGUAACCCAUGUUGCAUUAGGAAAGUCUUUGUAUACAGAUACCUGGGAAAGAGUGCUCACAGGGCACAGGCACAAGCACCACACAUGAGGAGUGACAGUGUUCAGCUGUGCUUCCAGGAAACCAAUUUAUUUUGCAUAGAAACAAAGUGGAGACCAAAGAAAUUAUAUUAGUGGAAGGCGUAUUGGAAUGUAUUUAAAUAUAUCGGUUGCUCAUAAACUGUUAGAUAUUAAAUACAUAACAUUUAGGUUCUAGGCUUUGUUUCAUGACCUGUUAGUGGUGGUGGUAGAGGGGCAGGGAGGAAGGAGAGGGUAGGAUAAAUAGUUUGUCCAUUAGAGGAAUUUUAAACUGGAAAACCCAAGAAAAUACUUCUUGUUAUCAGUUAUGCUUCAUGUGGACACUGAAAAUACCCUGAAAAUACCUCCUAUAAUUUUGAUUCUAACACUUUAGGGUACACCCAAUGAGGUGUGUGUGUGUGUGUGUGUGUGUUUGUGUGUGUGUGUGUGUGUGUGUGUGCAAAUCUUAUUGUGAAGUCAACAAUUACAGGGAAUCCAGGAUAUUUUUCAGCAGCAAUCCUUAUUUCAAAAUGUAAGCUAGACUUUGAGAAUAUUUGAAUAUAUCAAAUUGUAACAAAAUAGCAUUUUGUUGAUGAGAAAGCCCUUUCCCAUCCAAUCUGAAAUGGAUGAAGGCAGUAUUAACUUUAGUCCAAAUUCAGAGCAAAAUCUGCUUCACUCACAUUUCUAGGAGACAGACUACAUUCUUAAGAAAUGUGCAUUCUAGUCAGAAGCUCUCGCUUUACAUUUUUUUCUUAAUGUGGGAGAGAAAGGGCGCUUCAGUGAGUCGAGGUCUUGGCAGCCUCAAGAAGGGCAGGGCACCCAUGUCUUGCUGCAGGUGCCAAGGGUCACCUGGUUCCUUUCAUUUCAACAUUAAAACACUCCUGAGAAAAGAGUCAGGCUCUCCACCUUUGAAUAUUGCUCAAUCAUUUCUUUUUACUUCUUGCUUCAGUGAGCCCAGCAUGUGGUUUGCAGGGAAUCUAUUAAAAAGAAAACCCUUCACUGUUCUAUGGAUGGAUUUCGGAGAAAUCUAUAGUCAACUCAUGUUUCUCAAUUCCUUCACAACAGCUCUAAUUCUCUCAGUCUUGGUGAGGGCAUACUAAAAAAUUGGUUCCUAAUUUAUAAUUUAACAAGUGACAGAAUAUUUCGACAUUAGCAAAGGAAGGGAAUUGUUUUAUAUAUCAUCGGUGACUCAAAUCAUGACCACGGCUUUUCCUUUUUGUCAGUUGUGCUGAGCAGAUUGUCACAGUCAAAUAACAGCGCUGUUAGAAGUCUAGGCCAAUUGUGUUGAAACUUUCUGGGUAAAUGAGAUCAUUUGGGCUCUACCUUAUAUAUAGAUUACAGCAGUUGUCAUUAAGAAUGCCUGCUCCUGGCUGGGUGCCUGUAAUCCCAGUGGCUUGGGAGGCUGAGGCAGAAGGAUCAUAAGUUCAAAGUUAGCUUCAGCAAUUUAGCAAGACCCUAAGCAACUUAGUGAG